CAGUACUGGGAUGGCAGCAAGGUCUGUGAUGAGGAAAAACACAGUUAACUCUGAGAGUAGGAAAAAGUAAAUGACAAAUGAUUUGAAAACAACACUACACAACAAGCACUGCAUGAAGAGGAAAAGCACAGAGGCUUCCUGGAAUUUCUGGAGCACUGUUGGGAUCUCCAGGUUUCGCCGUCUCCUGAACCAUUUCUCCACCAAAUGGACGGUGCAGUUGCACUUUUUGGCAAGGCCUUUGAUCUCUGACUGCAAGAAAUGGAACAGUGUUAACAACA
Long non-coding RNA from Vidua chalybeata, 278 nucleotides. RefSeq lists it as uncharacterized. The transcript has 3 exons. The record is from RefSeq and is a predicted model, not a curated record. NCBI's taxonomy places the organism in Eukaryota, Metazoa, Chordata, Aves, Passeriformes, Viduidae.